UGAGUAAUGCCUAGGAAAUUGCCCUGAUGUGGGGGAUAACCAUUGGAAACGAUGGCUAAUACCGCAUGAUGCCUACGGGCCAAAGAGGGGGACCUUCGGGCCUCUCGCGUCAGGAUAUGCCUAGGUGGGAUUAGCUAGUUGGUGAGGUAAGGGCUCACCAAGGCGACGAUCCCUAGCUGGUCUGAGAGGAUGAUCAGCCACACUGGAACUGAGACACGGUCCAGACUCCUACGGGAGGCAGCAGUGGGGAAUAUUGCACAAUGGGCGCAAGCCUGAUGCAGCCAUGCCGCGUGUGUGAAGAAGGCCUUCGGGUUGUAAAGCACUUUCAGUCGUGAGGAAGGUAGUGUAGUUAAUAGCUGCAUUAUUUGACGUUAGCGACAGAAGAAGCACCGGCUAACUCCGUGCCAGCAGCCGCGGUAAUACGGAGGGUGCGAGCGUUAAUCGGAAUUACUGGGCGUAAAGCGCAUGCAGGUGGUUUGUUAAGUCAGAUGUGAAAGCCCGGGGCUCAACCUCGGAAUUGCAUUUGAAACUGGCAGACUAGAGUACUGUAGAGGGGGGUAGAAUUUCAGGUGUAGCGGUGAAAUGCGUAGAGAUCUGAAGGAAUACCGGUGGCGAAGGCGGCCCCCUGGACAGAUACUGACACUCAGAUGCGAAAGCGUGGGGAGCAAACAGGAUUAGAUACCCUGGUAGUCCACGCCGUAAACGAUGUCUACUUGGAGGUUGUGGCCUUGAGCCGUGGCUUUCGGAGCUAACGCGUUAAGUAGACCGCCUGGGGAGUACGGUCGCAAGAUUAAAACUCAAAUGAAUUGACGGGGGCCCGCACAAGCGGUGGAGCAUGUGGUUUAAUUCGAUGCAACGCGAAGAACCUUACCUACUCUUGACAUCCAGAGAACUUUCCAGAGAUGGAUUGGUGCCUUCGGGAACUCUGAGACAGGUGCUGCAUGGCUGUCGUCAGCUCGUGUUGUGAAAUGUUGGGUUAAGUCCCGCAACGAGCGCAACCCUUAUCCUUGUUUGCCAGCGAGUAAUGUCGGGAACUCCAGGGAGACUGCCGGUGAUAAACCGGAGGAAGGUGGGGACGACGUCAAGUCAUCAUGGCCCUUACGAGUAGGGCUACACACGUGCUACAAUGGCGCAUACAGAGGGCGGCCAACUUGCGAAAGUGAGCGAAUCCCAAAAAGUGCGUCGUAGUCCGGAUUGGAGUCUGCAACUCGACUCCAUGAAGUCGGAAUCGCUAGUAAUCGUGGAUCAGAAUGCCACGGUGAAUACGUUCCCGGGCCUUGUACACACCGCCCGUCACACCAUGGGAGUGGGCUGCAAAAGAAGUAGGUAGUUUAACCUUCGGGGGGACGCUUACCACUUUGUGGUUCAUGACUGGGGUGAAGUCGUAACAAGGUAGCGCUAGGGGAACC
This 1409-nucleotide ribosomal RNA is filed under the name Vibrio parahaemolyticus. RNAcentral describes it as "bacterial SSU rRNA". It matches the Rfam family "Bacterial small subunit ribosomal RNA". Lineage: Bacteria; Pseudomonadati; Pseudomonadota; Gammaproteobacteria; Vibrionales; Vibrionaceae. The record is from RNAcentral.